Molecule: ribosomal RNA, 587 nt
Filed under: uncultured Thauera sp.
Lineage: Bacteria; Pseudomonadati; Pseudomonadota; Betaproteobacteria; Rhodocyclales; Zoogloeaceae
Description: bacterial SSU rRNA
Rfam family: Bacterial small subunit ribosomal RNA
Source: RNAcentral
CCUACGGGAGGCAGCAGUGGGGAAUUUUGGACAAUGGGCGCAAGCCUGAUCCUGCCAUGCCGCGUGAGUGAAGAAGGCCUUCGGGUUGUAAAGCUCUUUCGGCCGGGAAGAAAUCGUGUUCUCUAACAUAGGACAUGGAUGACGGUACCGGACUAAGAAGCACCGGCUAACUACGUGCCAGCAGCCGCGGUAAUACGUAGGGUGCGAGCGUUAAUCGGAAUUACUGGGCGUAAAGCGUGCGCAGGCGGUUUUGUAAGACAGAUGUGAAAUCCCCGGGCUUAACCUGGGAACUGCGUUUGUGACUGCAAGGCUAGAGUACGGCAGAGGGGGGUGGAAUUCCACGUGUAGCAGUGAAAUGCGUAGAGAUGUGGAGGAACACCGAUGGCGAAGGCAGCCCCCUGGGUUAACACUGACGCUCAGGCACGAAAGCGUGGGGAGCAAACAGGAUUAGAUACCCUGGUAGUCCACGCCCUAAACGAUGUCAACUAGUCGUUCGGAGCAGCAAUGCACUGAGUGACGCAGCUAACGCGUGAAGUCGACCGCCUGGGGAGUACGGCCGCAAGGUUAAAACUCAAAGGAAUUGACGG